Molecule: non-coding RNA, 62 nt
Filed under: Spodoptera frugiperda (fall armyworm)
Lineage: Eukaryota; Metazoa; Arthropoda; Insecta; Lepidoptera; Noctuidae
Source: RNAcentral
CCGCCAAAGAACUGGGCGUAAAGUAACGUAGAACAGCCUUUAAGCUCUUUUCUUUCUCGGGU